AACAAUUCUCAGUGACAAUAUCUCCACUUUUGCAUCACAGAAAAAUAUAGUGAAAUGUGAUACUUGGUGUGAAUUGUAGAAUCUCGUGAACCAUUGAGUCUUCGAAUGCAAGUUACACCCCAAGCCAUUAGGCCAAUGGCACGCCUGCUUAGGUGCCUUGCGUCAUUGCCCCCAACCCCCCGCCCAUCAGGCUUUGAGUGAAGGGGGUGAAAGAUGGCCUCUCAUGACCUCAUCAGUCAUGGUUGGCCCAAAAGUGAGUCCUUGGCAAUGAUAACACUAUGAUCGUAAGUGGUAAAGCUCAAUGCAUGCCUUGUCUUCAAUGACACAUGCUCGUUGUCCAUUCGAACCCCAUCAAAUUUGCCACAUCACUUGAUCGAUGCUUGCAUCAUGACCCUAGGUUAGGUGGGAUUGCCUAUUGAGUUUAAGCUUAUCAAUAAGUGAAGGAAAAGAAACUUACCAAGAUUCCCUUAGUAAUGACAAGUGAAUCAGAAAGAGCCCAACUUGAGAAUCACCCAUCUCCAACAUCCAAAUUAUUGUCUGGAGAAGCAUCCUCAAUGACAGAUCAGGCCUAAGGCCAUUAGAAAAGGGCAUCAGAGAGGGUGAGAGCCUUAUUGGGCAUUGACCCUAUUAUGUCACAAAAAGCUAUCUAUGAGUUAGGUUGUUUGGGAAUGCAAUCCCAAUCAAGCGAUAAAUUCUAUCCAAGGUUAAAAAUAGACGAGAGAUCAAUAGCGAUCAAGUAUCACAAGGGAAAGAUGGAAAGGACUUUGAAAAAAGAGUCAAAGAGUACUUGAAAUUAUCAAAAGGGAAAUAGAUAAGGGCUGACGAUGCAUCCCAGUCAAAUGUGGAAUAGAAAAAGCUGGUCCACUGAUUGGCUCAGGCCAUGGAUCGAUGAGGGUCACAAUGGCAACCCAUGCCUUGGCUUUCAAUAUGCCCAUAGAGAUGUCACCAUCAUAGUUGAGGAAUGUAGCAUGUGCCAUCCUGUGUGCUUCCGACGUUGGCUUGCAAGCUCCAAUUCCAGCCUUUCUUAAAACACAAACCAAAGAGUUUGACAUAUGUAUGAGUCAACAGGCUAGGAAACCUAUAAGGUCCAAGGAAGCUGAUUGGUGGGAUCCCUCAUGGGUGCACCAUUGACUGACCUUGAUUUUCUAAGAAGGGUUCAAAUGUGAGCAGGCCUGUUGGGACCCAAAAAAAGGUGAACUAUGCUUGAGUGGGGCAAAGCCAAAGGAAAUAUUGAUGGAGGCUUGCAACAAUAUUAACGUGUAAAUCAUUCUUCUUAUUUGGGUAUUAAGGUAAAAGACAAAUUAAACCAUCUAGUAGCUGGUUCCCUCCAAAGUUUCUCUUAGGAUAGCCAAAGCCCUCAGCAAGUUAUAUUAGGUAAAGCCAAUGAUUAGAGGCAUCAAGGGCACAACACCCUCGACCUAUUCUAAAACUUAAAAUAAGUAGGAUGGUGUGACUACAUCAUUGAGCUGCACCACAAAAUCGAGAGCUCCAAGCGGGCCAUUUUUGGUAAACAAAAUUGGUAAUGCAAGAUGAGUGGAAAGUAGGGUUAUGGUGCCCAACUCCUAGAACCCAUAAAGGGUGUUGGUCGAUUAAGAUAGACAAUGGCCAUGAAGUCAAAAUUCUCUAAGAAGUGUGUAACAACUCACCUGGUGAAUCAACUAGCCUUGAAAAUUGAUGGUGCUUAAGUGCGUGACCUAUAACUGACCGUCGGGGCAAAGGCCAAGCCUUCAUAAGUAGAAAGGCAAGUGGUCAUUACAAAACAUGGGGCGUGAGCCCAAACAAAGUGGUUAUCGGUGUUGAUCUUAGUGGUAGUAGCAAAUAUUCAAAUGAGAACUUUGAAGGUCGAAGAAAGGAAAGGUUCCAUAUGAACGGCACUUGCACAUGGGUUCGCCAAUCCUAAGAGAUGAGGGAAGCUAGUCUGAUAGUGCAUCCAGCAUGAGCUUUGAAAUGGAAUUAGGUUAAAAUUCCUAAACUGGGACACGACAGUUGAUAGCAACUAUAGGGAGUUUGGAGACAUCAAAAAGGGCCUCAGGAAGAGUUAUCUUUUCUAUUUAAAGGCCUGCCCACCUUGGAAAUGACUUAACUAAAGAUUGGGUCCAGCUAUCGAAAGAGCACUGCAUGUCAUGUGGUGUCUAGUGCAACCAUGAUGGCUUUUGAAAAUCCAAAGGAUUCAAUGCCAUCUAUGCCCAGUCGCACUAAUAACCAUAACAGGUCUUCAAGGUGAAUAGCCUUUAGUCGAUGGAAUAAUGUAGGCAAGGUGAAUAGCCUUUAGUCGAUGGAACAAUGUAGGCAAGGUGAAUAUGAGCUAGGUUUAGACCAUCAUGAGACAGGUUAGUUUUACCCUCUUGAUUCUAGCGUUGUAAUUGUAAUUCAACCUAGGACAAGAGAAACCAUUGAUUCACACAAUUGGUCAUCGCACGUGUUUUAAAAGCCAGUAGCAUGAAGCCACUCUAUGCUGGAUUAUGACUAAACACCUUUAAGUUAGAAUUUGGGCUAGAAGCAAUGCACAUGACCACUGCUCAAUUGUCAACUCACGAUAAGGGCCUAUGGCCCUCAAUGGCACUUGUCAUAGGUGUAACCCUCAUGGUGGACAAGCCGCGCGAGCUUCCUUGGAGCAUAAUUCCCACCGAGUGAUGGAUAGAAUUUUUUACAAUCAACUUAUAUAUGAGAUAGGGUAUUGUAAGUGGUAGAGUGGCCUUGUUGCCAUGAUCCACUAAGAUUCAGCCCUCUAUCACUUCAAUUCAUUCUUCUCCCUCCCAUACCCAUCUAAGCCCUUUGACUUUAUUUUUUUUACACCACACCCAUCUUAUGUUGGUGGUCAAUGGUGUUCUCCAUUGCAAUUGAUUCGAUUGGGUGAUGACAUCCAUCCCUUAGGUGUCUCAAUAAAUGGUAACCAAAUGCCUUUGGUAUUAGUUAUAGUGACAGGCUCACCUUUGGUGCAGGUGGCACGCCCUGGGUGGGUGUACCACACGCAUAGUUCUAAGCACUAAGAACCAAGGCUUGAGCACUAGGGACAAUUGUGGGGGUUGGCACAAUAAGCAUGGGAGAAAUGUCUAGACUUCUUACAUAGCCAAGACCAGGCUUGCAACAUGCCUGCACUAUACCUAGGUGGACUGAGGGGAGCUUGGCCAAUCCAAAAUCUUCCAAAGGCAUCUAGGAUCGAUAGUAUUCAGUAGGAAGAUUUGGUUGACCCUAGAAAUUAGGAGGAGCCUUAUGUAAUAUGUGUAAUAAUGUGCAAUCCUUGAUUUUUCAUAAUCUUAUAAAUCUUUUAAUUUUAGAAGAUAGCUAUAAGUAGAGUUGGGGGCCUCAACUAUAAAUAAAAGGUCACCCCACCCUCAUUUGUCAAUCAUCACAUCAUU
RNAcentral lists this ribosomal RNA (3359 nucleotides) under Durio zibethinus. RNAcentral's name for it is "eukaryotic LSU rRNA". The stretch from base 389 to 2745 matches the Rfam family "Eukaryotic large subunit ribosomal RNA". Lineage: Eukaryota; Viridiplantae; Streptophyta; Magnoliopsida; Malvales; Malvaceae. The record is from RNAcentral.